UUUCCUGCUUCAUCUGAACAGGUUGUGACUGUGUUUUGUUGUUUUCUGCAGGGAAUCCCUCUGACAUGACUGUCAUCAUCGUCAUUGUUGCAGUGGUUGUUCUUGCUCUCGUCGCCAUCGCUGUCAUUGGAUACUUCAUUUACAAAAAGAACAAAGCCAAACGCCCUCCAUCUCCUGUAAGCAACACUGAAGUUUUGGAGGAGCUGAAUCCAAAAGCCUAAAUGACAAACACGCCACCCUGAACACAGUUUAUGGAUAACUUUUACAUUGGAUCAAGAAACAUCCUCCUCUGUAAACUGGGAAUUCAUUGAUUAUUGAUCACCUUUUAUAAACUGAUAGAAUCAGGGUUGGGAUUGAGGAGUAAAUGCUUAUUGAAUGCCUUACAAGAAAACCAAUUUUAAAAAUUAGUUAACAAAAAAAA
Micropterus salmoides (largemouth bass) is the source of this 421-nucleotide long non-coding RNA. RefSeq lists it as uncharacterized. The record is from RefSeq and is a predicted model, not a curated record. NCBI's taxonomy places the organism in Eukaryota, Metazoa, Chordata, Actinopteri, Centrarchiformes, Centrarchidae. The transcript has 4 exons.